UACGUAGGUGGCAAGCGUUGUCCGGAUUUACUGGGUGUAAAGGGCGUGCAGCCGGAGAGACAAGUCAGAUGUGAAAUCCACGGGCUCAACCCGUGAACUGCAUUUGAAACUGUUUCCCUUGAGUGUCGGAGAGGUAAUCGGAAUUCCUUGUGUAGCGGUGAAAUGCGUAGAUAUAAGGAAGAACACCAGUGGCGAAGGCGGAUUACUGGACGAUAACUGACGGUGAGGCGCGGAAGCGUGGGGAGCAAACAGG
RNAcentral lists this ribosomal RNA (253 nucleotides) under uncultured bacterium. Its description in RNAcentral is "partial 16S ribosomal RNA". It matches the Rfam family "Bacterial small subunit ribosomal RNA", at positions 524 to 776 of the family's 1533-position model. The record is from RNAcentral.